GACGAACCGUGCGAACGUUAUUCGGAAUCAUUGGGCUUAAAGGGCGCGUAGGCGGGCGACCGCGUCGAGUGCUGAAAUCCCCCGGCUCAACCGGGGAAGGGGCCUCGAAACGGGUCGCCUCGAGGCGAGGAGGGGGACCUGGAACGUCCGGUGGAGCGGUGAAAUGCGUUGAGAUCGGACGAACACCAACGGCGAAAGCAAGGUCCUGGACUCGUACUGACGCUGAGGCGCGAAAGCCAGGGGAGCGAACGGG
This 253-nucleotide ribosomal RNA is filed under the name uncultured bacterium. RNAcentral's name for it is "partial 16S ribosomal RNA". It matches the Rfam family "Bacterial small subunit ribosomal RNA", at positions 524 to 776 of the family's 1533-position model. The record is from RNAcentral.